This 271-nucleotide ribosomal RNA is filed under the name uncultured bacterium. RNAcentral's name for it is "partial 16S ribosomal RNA". It matches the Rfam family "Bacterial small subunit ribosomal RNA", at positions 84 to 353 of the family's 1533-position model. The record is from RNAcentral.
UUUGAUGGCGACCGGCGCACGGGUGAGUAACACGUAUCCAACCUGCCGAUGACUCGGGGAUAGCCUUUCGAAAGAAAGAUUAAUACCCGAUGGCAUAGUUCUUCCGCAUGGUAGAACUAUUAAAGAAUUUCGGUCAUCGAUGGGGAUGCGUUCCAUUAGGUUGUUGGCGGGGUAACGGCCCACCAAGCCUUCGAUGGAUAGGGGUUCUGAGAGGAAGGUCCCCCCACAUUGGAACUGAGACACGGUCCAAACUCCUACGGGAGGCAGCAUG